RNAcentral lists this long non-coding RNA (402 nucleotides) under Anas platyrhynchos platyrhynchos (common mallard). Its description in RNAcentral is "lncRNA (ENSAPLG00000021107.1)". Lineage: Eukaryota; Metazoa; Chordata; Aves; Anseriformes; Anatidae. The record is from RNAcentral.
AAUUAGCAAGAGCUUAAAGCUUGAUUGUUUUGGAGCUUUUGGAAACUUAUGAAGGUUGUGAGUUCUCGUGGCUUUUCUGAAGCUCUUGCAGAUAUUAUCAGGCUGCGCUUCCUUCAAAGCCCACCAGCUUUCCCCUCCCACCUCCUUCAGGCUUGCUGUUCUCCACAGAGUGUGUUUAAAUUAGCUGGACCAUUGCAAGCUAAGAGACUGAUUAAUCUUCAGAUGUGCCACAAGAUAGAAGUCAACAGCCUAGCGGAGGGACUUGAGUGGUUCCUCCAGGGUCAAUCUUACUCUCCAGGAGUGUGGAGGGAGACAUCCAGAAUGGUUCUUCCAUUUAAGGAAAGCUUCAGUGACGAUGCUCUGCUGAAGCUGCAUAUUAUCUCCACACAUCAAAAACCGUGA